GAUGAACGCUGGCGGCGUGCCUAAUACAUGCAAGUCGAACGAAUCUCUUUUAGAGAUGAGUGGCGAACGGGUGAGUAAUACAUAGGUAACCUGCCCCUGUGCGGGGGAUAACAGGAGGAAACUCCUGCUAAUACCGCAUAGCCAUGAGCACCGCAUGGAGCUCAUGCCAAAUAUCCUUUAUGGGAUAGCGCAGGGAUGGACCUAUGGCGCAUUAGCUGGUUGGCGGGGCAACGGCCCACCAAGGCAACGAUGCGUAGCCGGCCUGAGAGGGCGGACGGCCACAUUGGGACUGAGACACGGCCCAGACUCCUACGGGAGGCAGCAGUAGGGAAUUUUCGGCAAUGGGGGAAACCCUGACCGAGCAACGCCGCGUGAGCGAAGAAGGCCUCGGUCGUAAGACUCUGUGUAAGGAAGAACGGCGCAUACAGGAAAUGGUAUGCGAGUGACGGUACUUU
RNAcentral lists this ribosomal RNA (455 nucleotides) under uncultured bacterium. RNAcentral's name for it is "bacterial SSU rRNA". It matches the Rfam family "Bacterial small subunit ribosomal RNA", at positions 28 to 481 of the family's 1533-position model. The record is from RNAcentral.